GAGGGUGUAGCUCAGUGGUAGAGUACAUGCCUAGCCUGCACAAGGUCCUGGGUUCAAAAUCCAGCACCUCCA
Molecule: transfer RNA, 72 nt
Filed under: Camelus bactrianus (Bactrian camel)
Lineage: Eukaryota; Metazoa; Chordata; Mammalia; Artiodactyla; Camelidae
Also listed under: 1 other name
Rfam family: tRNA
About the family: Transfer RNA (tRNA) molecules are approximately 80 nucleotides in length. Their secondary structure includes four short double-helical elements and three loops (D, anti-codon, and T loops).
Source: Rfam by way of RNAcentral